CCUAAAAGAACAAGGUAUGUGAUAAAAUCAUCCUGCUUGGGUAAAUUUGUCGUCACACCACAACUGAAGCUGAGUUGGAAUGCUUAGAACAGAGCCACGUUUGAAAGUGUGCAACAUCAUAUAAUUUUGAACUGAAGCUUCCUUGUUGUGCGUUAACAAACAUGUUAUAUUGUUGAUUUGCAAGAUCAUAGGCUUUCACAUAUCAUGUUUCAACUUUGCAGGUCAUAAUGUUGUACCGAGGGCAUAAAGUUGUAUCCAGGAUGGGCUUGCACCUGGUUGAGGUCCAUCGGAAAUAGGACCAUCCUGCUUGCAAGAUCAUGGACUUCCACAAAGACAAGUAUAACAAGGAUGUCAAGUAGAAAGAGCACGUAAAAACCAAGGUAUGUGUGUUGUGCCAUCACUACUGACGCUGAGUUGAGAUGCUUAGAGCACAGCAAAUAUAUUCCAUGUGCUGGCUAUUUUAUUUGUAAAGAAUUUUGUUUUUCUCAAGGGAAGGGAGGAGUAAAUGAGAUGGUGGGAUUGACUCUAACCUGUCAAUCUGCUGGUUUUGAUGGCUGUAGUAUGUGUUGUUCAGUUGCAACAUAAGACAUGGUUGUGCAUGUUUUGAUCCUUGUUGUGGAAUCGAAACAACUCCUUGUAUAGUUUAUUUGAUUAUUACUGCCAGUAUUCUGCAUGUGAGCCAUGGUGUUGAUUUCAAGUGGAAGAACCGCUGUCCGUUGUUUUCAGGGUCCAAGAAGUAUGUUUUCUUGUAUUUAGUUUUUGUUUUGACCUUGUGAAACUUGCUACCUAUGGAUGAAACUGUGUAAUAUUGAUGAAACUAUGUAUAUGUACGGAUGAAACUUGCUACUAUUGGUAA
Molecule: long non-coding RNA, 856 nt
Organism: Triticum aestivum (bread wheat)
Lineage: Eukaryota; Viridiplantae; Streptophyta; Magnoliopsida; Poales; Poaceae
Exons: 2
Source: RefSeq, a predicted model, not a curated record